This 538-nucleotide ribosomal RNA is filed under the name Vibrio sp. YB36. RNAcentral describes it as "bacterial SSU rRNA". It matches the Rfam family "Bacterial small subunit ribosomal RNA", at positions 1 to 522 of the family's 1533-position model. The record is from RNAcentral. Lineage: Bacteria; Pseudomonadati; Pseudomonadota; Gammaproteobacteria; Vibrionales; Vibrionaceae.
UGGAGAGUUUGAUCCUGGCUCAGAUUGAACGCUGGCGGCAGGCCUAACACAUGCAAGUCGAGCGGAAACGAGUUAUCUGAACCUUCGGGGAACGAUAACGGCGUCGAGCGGCGGACGGGUGAGUAAUGCCUAGGAAAUUGCCCUGAUGUGGGGGAUAACCAUUGGAAACGAUGGCUAAUACCGCAUGAUGCCUACGGGCCAAAGAGGGGGACCUUCGGGCCUCUCGCGUCAGGAUAUGCCUAGGUGGGAUUAGCUAGUUGGUGAGGUAAGGGCUCACCAAGGCGACGAUCCCUAGCUGGUCUGAGAGGAUGAUCAGCCACACUGGAACUGAGACACGGUCCAGACUCCUACGGGAGGCAGCAGUGGGGAAUAUUGCACAAUGGGCGCAAGCCUGAUGCAGCCAUGCCGCGUGURUGAAGAAGGCCUUCGGGUUGUAAAGUACUUUCAGUCGUGAGGAAGGYRKYGUMGUUAAUAGCKGCRUUGUUUGACGUUAGCGACAGAAGAAGCACCGGCUAACUCCGUGCCAGCAGCCGCGGUA